UGAGGAAUAUUGGUCAAUGGGCGAGAGCCUGAACCAGCCAAGUCGCGUGAGGGAAGACGGUCCUACGGAUUGUAAAACCUCUUUUGUCGGGGAGCAAUAAAGCGUACGCGUACGCAGAUGCGAGUACCCGAAGAAAAAGCAUCGGCUAACUCCGUGCC
Molecule: ribosomal RNA, 158 nt
Filed under: uncultured bacterium
Lineage: Bacteria
Description: partial 16S ribosomal RNA
Rfam family: Bacterial small subunit ribosomal RNA
Source: RNAcentral